UUGCGUUUGGAGAGGAGCAUGAUGCCGUCAACCCCGGAACCUAGAAGUCAAGAAUAGCUGCCUUGUGGGAUAGGAAUUUAUCCAGGUCAGUUGUUCAUGUGGGAAUAGAGUCCCUUGGGCACUUGAGAUUCCUCGAGUCGCUUCCACCAUCAACCUCAGACUUUUGUUCAACCCAGUUGAUCUUCGUGGUCUUGUAACCUAGAUUUUGUAAUUUUGCUUGGAUAUUCUGUAUCAAGUAAGUGUCUACUAGCUAACAGAAAACCUGGGGCUGGUAUAAACAAAGACAUGUUUUCGGGAAAUUAU
RNAcentral lists this long non-coding RNA (303 nucleotides) under Hordeum vulgare. Its description in RNAcentral is "long non-coding RNA (HVUL_LNC015318)". The record is from RNAcentral. Lineage: Eukaryota; Viridiplantae; Streptophyta; Magnoliopsida; Poales; Poaceae.